GAUUUAUAGUUCAGUUCAGUUUAUAAUAACCAUUAUUGUGCAUUUGUGUGUUGUUUGAUUCUAAAAGUCCAAGGGAAUUUUGGGUUUCUAUUGACAUUCUUGUCUAUUGGAUUGCUACCCAUUUGGUCAGAUCUUUUCAACUCUAAACUUCUAAUUUUUGUACAUAGGAUAGUCUCUUCAUCUCCUCCCCAUUUCUUUAAUUUCAAAAUCUCUCCCUCCAAUUU
RNAcentral lists this long non-coding RNA (224 nucleotides) under Lathyrus oleraceus (garden pea). RNAcentral describes it as "Pisum sativum (pea) long non-coding RNA (PSAT_LNC024532)". Lineage: Eukaryota; Viridiplantae; Streptophyta; Magnoliopsida; Fabales; Fabaceae. The record is from RNAcentral.